GAUGAACGCUGGCGGCGUGCCUAAUACAUGCAAGUCGAGCGAACAGACGAGGAGCUUGCUCCUCUGACGUUAGCGGCGGACGGGUGAGUAACACGUGGAUAACCUACCUAUAAGACUGGGAUAACUUCGGGAAACCGGAGCUAAUACCGGAUAAUAUAUUGAACCGCAUGGUUCAAUAGUGAAAGACGGUUUUGCUGUCACUUAUAGAUGGAUCCGCGCCGCAUUAGCUAGUUGGUAAGGUAACGGCUUACCAAGGCAACGAUGCGUAGCCGACCUGAGAGGGUGAUCGGCCACACUGGAACUGAGACACGGUCCAGACUCCUACGGGAGGCAGCAGUAGGGAAUCUUCCGCAAUGGGCGAAAGCUUGACGGAGCAACGCCGAGUGAGUGAUGAAGGUCUUCGGAUCGUAAAACUCUGUUAUUAGGGAAGAACAAAUGUGUAAGUAACUAUGCACGUAUUGACGGUACCUAAUCAGAAAGCCACGGCUAACUACGUG
Molecule: ribosomal RNA, 497 nt
Filed under: uncultured bacterium
Lineage: Bacteria
Description: partial 16S ribosomal RNA
Rfam family: Bacterial small subunit ribosomal RNA
Source: RNAcentral